UUGUGACGAAUGGUGACAGCAGACAGCCCGAAAAUAAAUAAUCAACAAUUUUGCACAAAGAAUUUAUUUCUUUAUAGAGAUUUUGCGUCUACGAUUAUUAAUAAGAAGUGGUAAAAAGUAAUUGGGUGGGUGUUCUUUUCUUUUUAGUACUAAAUAUAUGAAUUGAUAUUGUAUUUAUUUGCAAAUCGCUUUUCUUAGCUUUCAAGACACCACACAACUCAAGCCAUCCAGUACCUAAGUUUUGAUUUGAUAAAAGAAUAAAGCUUAAAUAUACUAUAUUCGCAAAAUAUUCAGUUAAAAAAUGUACUAUGUUACUGGUACAAAUUUGUAUGGCCAAUGGUUUAGAACCUCAAAUAACAAAAGCUUAUUUGAAGGUUUCCAACAACUUGAAAAGGAAAACGAGACAAAGUUUGAUUUGAUUCGAGCUAAACUGGUUAUAUCAUGCUGGUCUUACAAUAUAUUCACAAUGGACAAUGAUUUUUUUUUAAUUGGCGCCUGGAAAGGUGCAGACAACCAAAUAGUCAAAGUUCCAGAUCAGUGCAGGACUUCAAUACAAUCAAAUUUGCUAAUAGCUGGGAAUGAUUUUAUGUUAAUUCUAGCAGAGAAAGUCACUAGAUCCUUAUGGUUUUAUGAUUUUAAAUCUGAACAGUUUAAAAGAGUUAGUAUUACUGAGCAGCCAAUUUUGGAAAACGAAGUAAAAAAAAUGAGAACAAGUGAUGAAAUCAUAAAAGUUGUUGCAACUAAUAAUGUAUACAUAUAUUUAACCUCUGAGGGAAAUGUGUACACUGGUUCUUUGCCUAACUAUUUGGACACGCGCCACUGUUUUGGAAAAGUUUGUGAUGUUGAAUGCGGAUACGAACAUUAUAUACUUCUCACAGAUGAAGGCAGAGUUUAUACAUGGGGAAAUGGACGGAGAUUGCAACUUGGCCAUGGAGAUUUAAUAAAUUUGGAAGUCCCGACUGAAGUUGAAGCAUUAGCAGGAAUAAAAAUAACCAAAAUUAAGGCUGGAGGCUGGCAUUCCCUUGCUUUAAGUGAAUUUGGAGAUUUGUAUGUGUGGGGCUGGAAUGACACAGGACAGUUAGGAAUGAACAAAAAUGGCCAAGACAAUGUAGAGACCAAGAAAAGUCAUGCAACACCCACACUUGUUGAUCUUUUUGAUGAGAAUGGAGAAGUUAAUUUACUUAUAAAGGAUAUAGCCUGUGGUACAAGACACUCUGCCAUUUUGCUUGAGGAUGACACAGUCUGGACCACUGGAUGGAAUAAGUAUGGCCAGCUAGGAUUACCUCUCAAGCAAUAUGAAAAAUUGGAUUGUUUCACAAAGUCAUUUUACUGCCCCAAUAUUUCUGGUAUAACCUGUGGUCCUUGGAACACUAUAGUUGAAGUGCAUUCAUAAUUAAAUUACGGUUGUAAUACUCAGUUUGUUAGUAGAUAAAUUAGACUUUUUCUCAGUAGAUAAUAUCUAUAAAUGUAGUAUGAACUAUAUGUAAUCUUUUAGAAAAUAUUGCCCUUAAGGGUUUAAUAUUUAUCUUUUAUGUAGUGUAGUCCAAAAAUAGCAAGACAGAUGGCGCCACAACCAUUACACAAUGAUAUAACUACCUUUAUUAUUUUUAAAGUUGCAAAUUCUAAAAUAACUACUAAAAAAUAAAAUUAUAUGUUUACUUCUAUUAAAAGUUCUGAAAGUAACAACAUGUGUUGAAAAUUGGCAAAAUGUUAGAAAAGUAAAGGUUGUUUUAGUUCACCCACAUAUAGUGUCAAUAAUGAAUUAUUAUUAUGUUUGAAGCAAAUUUGAUGAGCGGAGACUUACUUCAUCUUGGUGUAUACCUUUCUAUAUGAAGUGAGGUCAUGAUUUUCAGAGGUUCAGUAUUCUUGGCUCAAGUAUUUCUAUCCACCGAAUUAACUAAUUAGAAAGUGUACACACACAGAGUAUAAACAGAAUUCUGUUAAAUAUAAUAUAUCUGGGUCAAGUUAAAUUAUCAUAAUUAUGCCAGUGCCCAGGGCUGGAUAAUGCUUAGUAUAGGGACUAUGCAUUAUCCAGCAUUAUACAAUGCCUUUUGGCAUUUUGUGAUGCAGUAUACUAUUCUUUUGACAUGGUAGCAGUUUUCCGAAUGUUUUAUUGUAGGUAAUUCUGUCACUACUAAUUGGUACCAUUAAAGAUUCCUUUAUUACGUACACCUACACAAUAAAAGUUCACCCAAGGCACUGUUUAUAUAUUCUUUGCAAUAAACUGUCAAAUAUACGUA
This is an RNA transcript of Pararge aegeria (speckled wood butterfly), 2240 nucleotides long. It is a transcript of the gene named RCC1 and BTB domain-containing protein 1-like, with no coding region annotated. NCBI's taxonomy places the organism in Eukaryota, Metazoa, Arthropoda, Insecta, Lepidoptera, Nymphalidae. The record is from RefSeq and is a predicted model, not a curated record. The transcript has 3 exons.